Syngnathus acus (greater pipefish) is the source of this 1373-nucleotide RNA transcript. It is a transcript of the gene named CLN6 transmembrane ER protein a, with no coding region annotated. The record is from RefSeq and is a predicted model, not a curated record. The transcript has 8 exons. NCBI's taxonomy places the organism in Eukaryota, Metazoa, Chordata, Actinopteri, Syngnathiformes, Syngnathidae.
ACUAGUCGGGGCGGUGACAUGACAGUAAACAGGAAGUGAAGGACAAGCGAGAAGAAAAUGCGAGUUUAAUAACCUACGUGGUUUCUAUUUUGUUUUUAUUAUAUAUUAUCAAAAGCAACUGGAUCCAACACAGCACCAAACAUGCAGUCAUUACGGAAACGCCGGGACAACCUUUUAACAAUUCGAGCAAAUUCACAAACUAGCUGCGUACUUGGUUCGAAGACCAACAUGGCACAGAAGAAAAAGCAAGAUUUCCAUUUAGAUUUGUGGUUCUGCCUAACCCUGCAGAACUGGAUUCUAGACUUUGGACGGCCUAUUGUCAUGAUCAUGCUUCCACUUGAGUGGUUUCCCCUGAACAAACCAAGCGCCGGAGACUAUUUCCACAUGGCCUACAAUGUCAUAACACCUUUCCUCAUGCUUCGGUUGAUUGAGCGCAGUCCAAGGGCGCUGCCCCGCUCAGCAGUUUACCUUUGCAUCAUCACUUUUGUCAUGGGAGCCAGCAUCCACCUGGUUGGAGACUCCAUCAACCACAGACUUGUUCUGAGUGGCUACAAGCUCCACCUGUCAGUCAGAGAGAACCCGAUCAUGAGAGACCUCAAACCUGCCUCCCUGAUUGACUCCUUUGAGCUGUUGUAUUUUUAUGAUGAACAUCUGGGACAUUUAAUGUGGUAUAUUCCCUUCUUUAUCAUUCUCUUCAUCUACUUCACUGGAUGUUUCACCGAGCCGACAGAGCAGAUGAAGAUUCCAGUCACAGGCCGGCUGUUACUUGUACCCAGCGCACUCUAUUACUGGUAUUUGGUUACGGAAGGACAAAUCACCGAACUGUUUCUCCUCACCUUUUUUGCAAUGGUGGCCAUGGUGAUUCAUCAAAGGCAUCAUGGCCUGAGACCAGACAGCAAUGGUCUUUUCUUGUUCUAUAGUUUUAGUGUUACUGUGCUUUUAGUGGCACUCUGGGUUGGUUAUCUAUGGAAUGACCCAGUACUACGCAACAAGUACCCUGGUUUUGUGUACGUUCCGGAACCGUGGUCCUACUACAUGUUACAUAUACAAAAAGAUCACUGAAUCAGAACAUUGUUACCUCAUUACACUUUUUACUAUAUGUUGGCUUGAAUUCUAUUUGCUUUCCCCCUUUUCGGUUACAAUAGAGUCUAUUGAAUGGACAGUGAUGAAGGAACGACAGGUUUACAAACUGUUAUAGUUUUUUUUUAGUUUUGUCUUUCUUUUCUCAUUGUUAAAGUAUUGGACAGUAUUUGCCGCAUUAGGUUUUUGACACCGCUCGGUUCGAACAUCACUGAUUGUUACUAAUGUAUUCAACACCGACUCUCCUUGUGCUCAAUGCAAUACUGAUGUCAAUAAUAAAUGAAUGGAAUGUU